This 349-nucleotide ribosomal RNA is filed under the name uncultured Candidatus Saccharibacteria bacterium. RNAcentral's name for it is "bacterial SSU rRNA". It matches the Rfam family "Bacterial small subunit ribosomal RNA", at positions 553 to 899 of the family's 1533-position model. The record is from RNAcentral. Lineage: Bacteria; Candidatus Saccharimonadota.
ACUGGGCGUAAAGAGUUGCGUAGGUGGCAGAGUAUGUCUGUAGUGAAAGCGUGUGGCUCAACCAUAUACACAUUACAGAAACUGCUCAGCUAGAGGGCGAGAGAGGUUACUAGAAUUCCUAGUGUAGGAGUGAAAUCCGUAGAUAUUAGGAGGAAUACCGAUGGCGUAGGCAGGUAACUGGCUCGUCCCUGACACUAAGGCACGAAAGCGUGGGUAGCAAACGGGAUUAGAUACCCCGGUAGUCCACGCCGUAAACGAUGGAUGCUAGCUGUAAGAGGUAUCGACCCCUCUUGUAGCGAAGCUAACGCGUUAAGCAUCCCGCCUGUGGAGUACGGUCGCAAGACUAAAA